Non-coding RNA from Caenorhabditis brenneri, 46 nucleotides. The record is from Rfam. Lineage: Eukaryota; Metazoa; Nematoda; Chromadorea; Rhabditida; Rhabditidae.
CCAACGGCCCUCUUCGGGGCCACAACUAUCCAAUAAUCCAAAAUUU